UAGUCACUAACAAGACUACAAGAUCGCGCCACUCAUCCUGAUCCUACACUCAUUUCCAUUCGUACUUGGCUUAAAAUACCUACUUUGUAUGGUCGCCAAGUAAUAAGAAAGAAAGUAUUAAAGAAAUAUAUUCAUUGGAAUGAGUGUAGGACGUAAACUUAAGAGCUGUAAAAUAUUCUAGAGCUGUUUGUAUUUGGUGUAAGACUAGACUUGGAUUAUAUCAUUCAUUGCUGAUGACAUCAAUGUUAAUUUUAUAGAUGAUCCUGGAGCAAAGGCUGUAAUUUGACCUGAACCCAAAUUGGUCUCUAUUUUAAAUAUUGUCUUGAACCAACAAGUUAAGAGGACUAACCUUUCUGGACGACAUUGCCAUCGACAUCACAGCAGAUGAGAGAGAAAGAGAGACCAGAGUUGUGGACCCUGGAGGCAAUUACCAUACUGCCGUGAUAAUGUUCCUUGGUCUAACCAUAACUUAAGUGAGAACUGAAGCCUACCAGUAAAAUGGGGGCGUUGUAAUUAAUAUCCUCCGACAUUGGAGAAUACAGGGGAGAGGUGUCAGAGGAAGAGGAGAUGGAGGAUGGGGCGAAGUAAAGUCUAAGAUUGAAGAGAACUAACUAAUGGCCUGAUGACAGGGUGGAUGGCGAUGGAGGCAUGGAGGUUGGGGGAGAGGAGGCUGAAGAAGUGGAGACAAAUCAGUUUAGAUCUAUUAUGUUGAUUAGUUUAACAUUUAUUUUGAACAUCAGUAUUUAAAUUUUUUUCUCAUUUAGAUUAUUAAAUUAAGAUAAUUUUAUUGUUUUUAUGAAGAUGUUUUCUUACAUUUUUAAUAUUUGUUUGUACUUCUGCCUGGUAAAAAAAUACUGUUUUCCUACAGUUACCUAACAAUGUACAUGUUCUCUCACUGAUUUGAGAAAGCAAAGUGGCCAAUUCGCUCAUCAGUGAGACAAUGUUAACAUUGUCUCACUCUAAUUACUUUGUCUCACUCCAGAUUUGCAACGUGAAGGCACAAAAUAGUGAGCGCGUAACAUGCAGACAAGGUCGUAUGUGCGCGAAAUACGUUGGCAGCACUGGCUGUAAAUCAGCUGGUCAGCUGUUUUACUGUUGUAUCAUUAAAUGUCAUAUUAAAAGUUCACUUCUGUGUAAAAAUAUGUUACGUUUCUUUACCAAUUUAUUUGUUUUAUGGUAACUGUAGGAAAAAUAUAAUGUGCAGCUCGAGUGCAAAGUGCAAUUGCCUCACUCGAGAAACCAUUCCUCACUCGCCUACGGCUCGUGAGUAAGUAUUUCUCUCGAGAGAGUCAAUUUAUCACUUUGCUCACUAGUUGCACAAAUAACUAUUAUUAUCUUUGUUAAAAUGAUUACUUUCACUAACUGACCUUGUCUUGGGUAAAAAGAGAUAUCUUGAUAUUUAACUAGCAGGGUGCCUGUUCUAUGGGCGGGGAUUGUAUAAGUCAGUAGAAACCUUUUCUUAUAUUUCGAUACUUGGUAAAUUAAUCAUUUCCAGAUUGCUAUUCCUGUAUUGAUGUACUGAAAUGAAUAAAAUUAUAUGAAAUGAAA
Long non-coding RNA from Macrosteles quadrilineatus (aster leafhopper), 1548 nucleotides. RefSeq lists it as uncharacterized. Lineage: Eukaryota; Metazoa; Arthropoda; Insecta; Hemiptera; Cicadellidae. The transcript has 3 exons. The record is from RefSeq and is a predicted model, not a curated record.